GUGGCCUAGUGGUUAGAACAUCUGCCUCAGAUGCGGGAGGUUGUGGGUUCAAUCCUCAGUCAAGUCA
Non-coding RNA from Potamilus streckersoni, 67 nucleotides. The record is from the annotation of a GenBank genome assembly. Lineage: Eukaryota; Metazoa; Mollusca; Bivalvia; Unionida; Unionidae.